Pelobates cultripes (western spadefoot toad) is the source of this 228-nucleotide non-coding RNA. Lineage: Eukaryota; Metazoa; Chordata; Amphibia; Anura; Pelobatidae. The record is from the annotation of a GenBank genome assembly.
UUUUAUUCCAGAAAUUUGGUCCUUAAGGGGUUAAACAAUUAAUCUGUCAGUAUUGUAUAAAUUGAAUUAUUUUGUAUAUGUAGUAGCAAGCUCUUUUCAGAACUGCUUGCAAAACAUAACUGAAAGGAAGUCACAAGCUAUGACAGUUUCUAUGUAUCAGGAAAUGCCUAACCACAAUGUAUAUGUGAUAUUUUGUAAGAUUAGAUUAUUGAAUGUAACAGCAGAAAC